AUUGAACGCUGGUGGCAUGCUUUACACAUGCAAGUCGAACGGCAGCGCGGGCUUCGGCCUGGCGGCGAGUGGCGAACGGGUGAGUAAUGCAUCGGAACGUGCCCAGUAGUGGGGGAUAGCCCGGCGAAAGCCGGAUUAAUACCGCAUACGACCUGAGGGUGAAAGCGGGGGACCGAAAGGCCUCGCGCUAUUGGAGCGGCCGAUGUCGGAUUAGCUAGUUGGUGGGGUAAAGGCUUACCAAGGCGACGAUCCGUAGCUGGUCUGAGAGGACGACCAGCCACACUGGGACUGAGACACGGCCCAGACUCCUACGGGAGGCAGCAGUGGGGAAUUUUGGACAAUGGGGGCAACCCUGAUCCAGCCAUGCCGCGUGCGGGAAGAAGGCCUUCGGGUUGUAAACCGCUUUUGUUCGGGAAGAAAUCCUCUGGGCUAAUACCCCGGGGGGAUGACGGUACCGGAAGAAUAAGCACCGGCUAACUACGU
RNAcentral lists this ribosomal RNA (483 nucleotides) under uncultured bacterium. RNAcentral describes it as "partial 16S ribosomal RNA". It matches the Rfam family "Bacterial small subunit ribosomal RNA", at positions 28 to 506 of the family's 1533-position model. The record is from RNAcentral.